CGGGUGAGUAAUGCUUGGGAAUCUAGCUUAUGGAGGGGGAUAACUACGGGAAACUGUAGCUAAUACCGCGUAGAAUCGAGAGAUGAAAGUGUGGGACCUUCGGGCCACAUGCCAUAGGAUGAGCCCAAGUGGGAUUAGGUAGUUGGUGAGGUAAAGGCUCACCAAGCCGACGAUCUCUAGCUGGUCUGAGAGGAUGACCGGCCACACUGGGACUGAGACACGGCCCAG
This 228-nucleotide ribosomal RNA is filed under the name uncultured bacterium. Its description in RNAcentral is "partial 16S ribosomal RNA". It matches the Rfam family "Bacterial small subunit ribosomal RNA", at positions 103 to 334 of the family's 1533-position model. The record is from RNAcentral.